Molecule: ribosomal RNA, 497 nt
Filed under: uncultured bacterium
Lineage: Bacteria
Description: partial 16S ribosomal RNA
Rfam family: Bacterial small subunit ribosomal RNA
Source: RNAcentral
GAUGAACGCUGGCGGCGUGCCUAAUACAUGCAAGUCGAGCGAACAGACGAGGAGCUUGCUCCUCUGACGUUAGCGUCGGACGGGUGAGUAACACGUGGAUAACCUACCUAUAAGACUGGGAUAACUUCGGGAAACCGGAGCUAAUACCGGAUAAUAUAUUGAACCGCAUGGUUCAAUAGUGAAAGACGGUUUUGCUGUCACUUAUAGAUGGAUCCGCGCCGCAUUAGCUAGUUGGUAAGGUAACGGCUUACCAAGGCAACGAUGCGUAGCCGACCUGAGAGGGUGAUCGGCCACACUGGAACUGAGACACGGUCCAGACUCCUACGGGAGGCAGCAGUAGGGAAUCUUCCGCAAUGGGCGAAAGCUUGACGGAGCAACGCCGCGUGAGUGAUGAAGGUCUUCGGAUCGUAAAACUCUGUUAUUAGGGAAGAACAAAUGUGUAAGUAACUAUGCAAGUAUUGACGGUACCUAAUCAGAAAGCCACGGCUAACUACGUG